Molecule: non-coding RNA, 73 nt
Organism: Neopelma chrysocephalum (saffron-crested tyrant-manakin)
Lineage: Eukaryota; Metazoa; Chordata; Aves; Passeriformes; Pipridae
Source: the annotation of a RefSeq genome assembly
GCCGGGUUGGCUCAGCGGGCAGAGCGCCCGCCCGGCGUGCGGGAGGUGGCGGGUUCGAGUCCCGCCUCCGCCG